RNAcentral lists this ribosomal RNA (673 nucleotides) under uncultured bacterium. Its description in RNAcentral is "bacterial SSU rRNA". It matches the Rfam family "Bacterial small subunit ribosomal RNA", at positions 76 to 767 of the family's 1533-position model. The record is from RNAcentral.
GAGCUUGCUUAAUGUUCUUAGUGGCGGACGGGUGCGUUAACGUGAGUAACCUGCCUCUGAGAGUGGGAUAGCUUCUGGUAACGGAUGGUAAUACCGCAUAACAUCAUGGAUUCGCAUGUUUCUAUGAUCGAAGAUUUAUCGCUUAGAGAUGGACUCGCGUCUGAUUAGCUAGUUGGUAAGGUAACGGCUUACCAAGGCGACGAUCAGUAGCCGGACUGAGAGGUUGAUCGGCCACAUUGGGACUGAGACACGGCCCAGACUCCUACGGGAGGCAGCAGUGGGGAAUAUUGCACAAUGGGGGAAACCCUGAUGCAGCGAUGCCGCGUGGAGGAAGAAGGUUUUCGGAUUGUAAACUCCUGUUGAAGAGGACGAUAAUGACGGUACUCUUUUAGAAAGCUCCGGCUAACUACGUGCCAGCAGCCGCGGUAAUACGUAGGGAGCGAGCGUUGUCCGGAAUUACUGGGUGUAAAGGGAGCGUAGGCGGGAUGGCAAGUCAGAUGUGAAAACUAUGGGCUCAACCCAUAGACUGCAUUUGAAACUGUUGUUCUUGAGUGAGGUAGAGGUAAGCGGAAUUCCUGGUGUAGCGGUGAAAUGCGUAGAGAUCAGGAGGAACAUCGGUGGCGAAGGCGGCUUACUGGGCCUUUACUGACGCUGAGGCUCGAAAGCGUGGGGA